AUUGAACGCUGGCGGCAUGCUUUACACAUGCAAGUCGAACGGCAGCGCGGGCUUCGGCCUGGCGGCGAGUGGCGAACGGGUGAGUAAUACAUCGGAACGUGCCCAGUAGUGGGGGAUAGCUCGGCGAAAGCCGGAUUAAUACCGCAUACGACCUGAGGGUGAAAGCGGGGGAUCUUCGGACCUCGCGCUAUUGGAGCGGCCGAUGGCAGAUUAGCUAGUUGGUGGGGUAAAGGCCUACCAAGGCGACGAUCUGUAGCUGGUCUGAGAGGACGACCAGCCACACUGGGACUGAGACACGGCCCAGACUCCUACGGGAGGCAGCAGUGGGGAAUUUCGGACAAUGGGCGAAAGCCUGAUCCAGCAAUGCCGCGUGUGAUGAAGGCCUUCGGGUUGUAAAGCACUUUUGGCGGGAACGAAAAGGACUGUGCCAAUACCACGGUUCGAUGACGGUACCCGCAGAAUAAGCACCGGCUAACUACGUG
This 482-nucleotide ribosomal RNA is filed under the name uncultured bacterium. Its description in RNAcentral is "partial 16S ribosomal RNA". It matches the Rfam family "Bacterial small subunit ribosomal RNA", at positions 29 to 507 of the family's 1533-position model. The record is from RNAcentral.